GACGAACGCUGGCGGCGUGCUUAACACAUGCAAGUCGAACGGAAAGGCCCUGCUUUUGUGGGGUGCUCGAGUGGCGAACGGGUGAGUAACACGUGAGUAACCUGCCCUUGACUUUGGGAUAACUUCAGGAAACUGGGGCUAAUACCGGAUAGGAGCUCCUGCUGCAUGGUGGGGGUUGGAAAGUUUCGGCGGUUGGGGAUGGACUCGCGGCUUAUCAGCUUGAUGGUGGGGUAGUGGCUUACCAAGGCUUUGACGGGUAGCCGGCCUGAGAGGGUGACCGGCGACAAUAGGACUAAGAGAGGGAGCAGAAGCGUACGGGAGGCAGAGGUGGGGAGUAUUGCAGAAUGGGGGGAAGCGUGAUGAAGCAGCGCCGGGUGCGGGAUGACGGCCUUCGGGUUGUAAACCGCUGUCGACGGUGCCGAAGCGUGAGUGACGGUAAUGGGUAAAGAAGCACCGGCUAACUACGUG
This 468-nucleotide ribosomal RNA is filed under the name uncultured bacterium. RNAcentral describes it as "partial 16S ribosomal RNA". It matches the Rfam family "Bacterial small subunit ribosomal RNA", at positions 28 to 507 of the family's 1533-position model. The record is from RNAcentral.